This is a non-coding RNA of Hydra vulgaris (swiftwater hydra), 1090 nucleotides long. The record is from RefSeq and is a predicted model, not a curated record. NCBI's taxonomy places the organism in Eukaryota, Metazoa, Cnidaria, Hydrozoa, Anthoathecata, Hydridae.
UUUUAGAAUCUGAGUGAGUUACUGUUUUGAAUAUCUAAAAUCUUCAAAUUAAGUUUUUAUGAUUUUAAGUUAAAUUAGACUUAAGAAUAUGUGUAAGAAUUGAGAAUAAAUAUUUACUUUUUAUUUUAGAAAUGAACACACAAGAAAAUUUAAACGACGAUGAUGGUGACUUUUUUAGAAAAAAAUUAGAAGAUUUACAAAAGUCCAUAGUGACAAAUCCAACUUCCUCAGUAACGUAUGUUGUUGUACUCACUUAUACUUGACUUAAUUUAUGGAUUAAUUGGUUUUAUUGCAUUUUUAAUUUUCUUUUAUUUAUCUCUAGCUGCUGCUUCUUCUGUUACAAGCUCGAAGUCAUGGGAAGAAUUCAGAAAGUAUCGCUCCCAGCAUCCAGGCCCUCUAUCUAUGAGGGCCUUCCAUCGCUGGUGUUUGUAUGGGGACGACCAUCCCUCCUUUAGAUGGAGGGAUGGCACCCCAUACAACACGGGGAAUAGAGCGGAUGCUGGGAGGAGAAGACAACGUGGCGCAAAAGUUGUUAAUAAUUUUUUUACAUAUUAAAAUGUAAAGAAAUUGACAACUUUUGAGCCACUUCAUUUUUUUUUUUGUAAUAUAUUUUUGUAAAUUUAUUUUUGUGUUGUUUUUUAUUUUUCCCAUGAAUGUUAAAUGUUAUCAAAGUAAUUCAUUUAAAUAAAGACACCUUUAUCAACAAUGCUCAUUAACUAGAAAUAGAAGUCACGGUCAUACAUUUGAUAAAGUUAAUGUUAAUCUCAAAGGGAUUUGGUUUUCACACAAUCAAAUUCUAUCUAGCACCUUCCAGAACUAAGAAUAUAAGUGUGUGGUGUCAGUAGUUUAAAAUAUGUAUAAUAAACUCAGAAUAACUCAAUAACCCUCAACAAAACUAUGAACUAAUUUUUAAAUUCAAGUUGAGCUUUUUUAUUUAUUAAUACCUCCCCUCCCAAUAACUCUAAUUUUCCUUAAAAAACUAAUAUUUUCGUCCUUUGGAGGUGGUUCUGCUAUUUAAUUAAUUGUUGUGAUGUUUUAUGCAAAUAGAUUUAGCUCACAUUCAUGUUGGUCUGUCAGGAUUAUGUAAAAA